Molecule: non-coding RNA, 739 nt
Organism: Paramormyrops kingsleyae
Lineage: Eukaryota; Metazoa; Chordata; Actinopteri; Osteoglossiformes; Mormyridae
Source: RefSeq, a predicted model, not a curated record
ACCACACAGACGGAGUCACCACAGGAAGGAACAAGGCAGUGAGCCUUAGCGGACAUCAUCACGGUCAGAGGGGCUCGUAAGCUACCACCAAGAGAACCGCAAUCCACCAGCCAAAACGGGGGGGGGGGGGUGUAAACGAGAGGAUGACAGUGCAACAAAAAACUGAUUAUUGCGGUCAGCAGCGACGGACAGGAAUGGGGACAUCGCUGCAGCAACGACCGUCGUUAGAAGGACAGCAGGUCAGAUGAAAGUGGAGCUUUCAGUACCUGUGCUCUGGAGAUGCUGACCACUCACAGGUCUCUACCAGUGAUGUUUCAGACAUGGAGAUGUCUUUGCUUAUUGCAAAGGACUGUAUUAUCAGGUAUUUAUGGAAGAAACAUUUUGCAGAAGUUACUUUGACUACUGUGAGGAACUGAGAUGGAAGGCACGAGGAACACAGGUUGGCCACCUCUUUUGACUGGAGCAGUGAGGAAAAUUCCCCAGCACUCACCACACGGAAACUCGAAAAGAAACGAAACCAUUAAUAACUUAAAAAGGUGCGCAACAUAAUGUUCCACAGUUAACUAAAUGUGCAUGCUUCAUCUAGUAAACAGUGGUUAAAAUGUAUCGAAUAAAGAAAUACUAAUAGACAAAUAUUGUUGCGUUUUGAUUAGCAUUAUGCAAACUAAACAAACUCAAAUGUAAAAUGGCAAAUGACUAUGGGUAAGAUACUUCCCUUCAGUGUGGCUGUCAGACCAGC